AUGACUGAAUAUAAACUUGCGGUAGUUGGAGCUGGUGGCGUAAGCAAAAGUGUCUUGACGAUACAGCUAAUUCAGAAUCAUUUUGUGGACCAAUAUGAUCCAACAAUAGAGAAUUCCUACAGGAAGCAAGUAGUAAUUGAUGGAGAAACCUGUCUCUUGGAUAUUCUUGACACAACAGGUCAAGAAGAGUACAAUGCAAUGAGGACCAGUACAUGAGGACUGGGCGGGGGGGGGGGGGGGGCUUUCUUUGUGUAUUUGCCAUAAAUAAUAUUAAAUCAUUUGAAGAUAUGCACAAUUAUAGAAAACAAAUUAAAAGAUUUAAGGACUCUGAAGAUGUGCCUAUGGUCCUAGUAGGAAAUAAAUGUGAUUUGCCUUCUAGAACAGUAGACACAAAAGGCUCAGGACUUAGCAAGGAGUUAGGGAAUUCCCUUUAUUGAAACCAGCAAAGACAGGGUGUUAAUGAUGCCUUCUAUACAUUAGUUUGAGAAAUAAAAGAUGAGCAAAGAUGGUAAGAAGAAGAAAAGUCAAUGACAAAGUGUGUAAUUAUGUAAA
RNAcentral lists this long non-coding RNA (552 nucleotides) under Homo sapiens (human). RNAcentral's name for it is "non-protein coding lnc-FAM83B-3:2". Lineage: Eukaryota; Metazoa; Chordata; Mammalia; Primates; Hominidae. The record is from RNAcentral.